Molecule: ribosomal RNA, 253 nt
Filed under: uncultured bacterium
Lineage: Bacteria
Description: partial 16S ribosomal RNA
Rfam family: Bacterial small subunit ribosomal RNA
Source: RNAcentral
UACGUAGGGACCGAGCGUUGUCCGGAAUCAUUGGGCGUAAAGCGCGUGUAGGCGGCCCGGUAAGUCCGCUGUGAAAGUCGGGGGCUCAACCCUCGGAUGCCGGUGGAUACUGUCGGGCUAGAGUACGGAAGAGGCGAGUGGAAUUCCUGGUGUAGCGGUGAAAUGCGCAGAUAUCAGGAGGAACACCAAUUGCGAAGGCAGCUCGCUGGGACGUUACUGACGCUGAGACGCGAAAGCGUGGGGAGCAAACAGG